GAAAGACUGUGUAAGGCCAUCAGCAGGUCUGACCAAGACAAUCUGGUCUGCUCACGAUCCGCUCCAGGUGGCUCUUUGCUCUUUGAUAGUGCCGAGCGGUCAUGCCAGACGGACCUCAAGAGCAAGACCAGAGAUACACUGGUGCGCAGCUCUGCAGUGUGAGACCUGAGAGACUCCAGUGUUCCAUGUGGGCUGUGUGUGAGACGUUUAUUGCGCGCUACAGUCGUGUGCAAGAAGGAUUUGGCUACAUUUCCAUGUUAGACCCUUUUCGUAAAUAUGACUUUCCCGUUUUGCCUUGACUUGUACAUUACAUAUAGUCCAUGUUGUCAGUGUUGCUGGUUGUAUACAUGUGUGCAUGUAUGUAAGAAUUAUGUACAAUACACCUUCACUCCUUGGUC
This is a long non-coding RNA of Electrophorus electricus (electric eel), 398 nucleotides long. RefSeq lists it as uncharacterized. The record is from RefSeq and is a predicted model, not a curated record. NCBI's taxonomy places the organism in Eukaryota, Metazoa, Chordata, Actinopteri, Gymnotiformes, Gymnotidae.